CGUUUAUUUGAUAGUUCCCUACUACUUGGAUAACCGUGGUAAUUCUAGAGCUAAUACAUGCAAAAAACCGCGACUUCGGAAGCGGUGUAUUUAUUAGAUUAAAGACCAAUGCCCUUCGGGGCUGACUGGUGAUUCAUGAUAACUUCUCGAAUCGCACGGCCUUGCGCCGGCGAUGGUUCAUUCAAAUUUCUGCCCUAUCAACUUUCGACUUUAGCGUAGUGGGCUAAAGUGGUUACAACGGGUAACGGAGGGUUAGGGCUCGACCCCGGAGAAGGAGCCUGAGAGACGGCUACUACAUCCAAGGAAGGCAGCAGGCGCGCAAAUUACCCAAUCCCGACACGGGGAGGUAGUGACAAUAAAUACUGAUACAGGGCUCUUUUGGGUCUUGUAAUUGGAAUGAGUACAAUUUAAAUCCCUUAACGAGGAACAAUUGGAGGGCAAGUCUGGUGCCAGCAGCCGCGGUAAUUCCAGCUCCAAUAGCGUAUAUUAAAGUUGUUGUGGUUAAAAGCUCGUAGUUGAACCUGGGCCUCGCGCAGACCGGUCCGCCUCACCGCGUGCACUGGUCCUGCCGGGGCUUUCACUAGGGGAUUCGCAUGCCCUUCACUGGGCGUGCGCGGAACCUGGACCUUUACUGUGAAAAAAUUAGAGUGUUCAAAGCAGGCCUAUGCUCGAAUACAUUAGCAUGGAAUAAUAGAAUAGGACGUGUGGUUCUAUUUUGUUGGUUAUGGGACCGCCGUAAUGAUUAAUAGGGACAGUCGGGGGCAUCAGUAUUCAAUUGUCAGAGGUGAAAUUCUUGGAUUUAUUGAAGACUAACUACUGCGAAAGCAUUUGCCAAGGAUGUUUUCAUUAAUCAGGAACGAAAGUUAGGGGAUCGAAGACGAUCAGAUACCGUCGUAGUCUUAACCAUAAACUAUGCCGACUAGGGAUCGGGCGAUGUUACUUUUUGACUCGCUCGGCACCUUACGAGAAAUCAAAGUUUGUGGGUUCCUGGGGGAGUAUGGUGGCAACGCUGAAACUUAAAG
RNAcentral lists this ribosomal RNA (1022 nucleotides) under Halazoon melhae. Its description in RNAcentral is "SSU rRNA". It matches the Rfam family "Eukaryotic small subunit ribosomal RNA", at positions 114 to 1149 of the family's 1831-position model. The record is from RNAcentral. Lineage: Eukaryota; Fungi; Ascomycota; Sordariomycetes; Lulworthiales; Lulworthiaceae.